CGAACGAGCGAGAGAGAGCUUGCUUUCUCAAGCGAGUGGCGAACGGGUGAGUAACGCGUGAGGAACCUGCCUCAAAGAGGGGGACAACAGUUGGAAACGACUGCUAAUACCGCAUAAGCCCACGGCUCGGCAUCGAGCAGAGGGAAAAGGAGCAAUCCGCUUUGAGAUGGCCUCGCGUCCGAUUAGCUAGUUGGUGAGGUAAUGGCCCACCAAGGCGACGAUCGGUAGCCGGACUGAGAGGUUGAACGGCCACAUUGGGACUGAGACACGGCCCAGACUCCUACGGGAGGCAGCAGUGGGGAAUAUUGCACAAUGGGGGAAACCCUGAUGCAGCGACGCCGCGUGGAGGAAGAAGGUCUUCGGAUUGUAAACUCCUGUUGUUGAGGAAGAUAAUGACGGUACUCAACAAGGAAGUGACGGCUAACUACGUGCCAGCAGCCGCGGUAAAACGUAGGUCACAAGCGUUGUCCGGAAUUACUGGGUGUAAAGGGAGCGCAGGCGGGAAGACAAGUUGGAAGUGAAAUCUAUGGGCUCAACCCAUAAACUGCUUUCAAAACUGUUUUUCUUGAGUAGUGCAGAGGUAGGCGGAAUUCCCGGUGUAGCGGUGGAAUGCGUAGAUAUCGGGAGGAACACCAGUGGCGAAGGCGGCCUACUGGGCAC
This 660-nucleotide ribosomal RNA is filed under the name uncultured Lachnospiraceae bacterium. Its description in RNAcentral is "bacterial SSU rRNA". It matches the Rfam family "Bacterial small subunit ribosomal RNA", at positions 63 to 736 of the family's 1533-position model. The record is from RNAcentral. Lineage: Bacteria; Bacillati; Bacillota; Clostridia; Lachnospirales; Lachnospiraceae.